Molecule: ribosomal RNA, 270 nt
Filed under: uncultured bacterium
Lineage: Bacteria
Description: partial 16S ribosomal RNA
Rfam family: Bacterial small subunit ribosomal RNA
Source: RNAcentral
CCCGGCGACCGGCGCACGGGUGAGUAACAUGUAUGAAACCUGCCCGUAGCAGGGGGAUAAGCGGAAGAAAUUCCGUCUAAUACCGCGUAACAACCCAUGGAGGCAUCUCUGUGGGUUUAAAGGAAGCGAUUCCGGCUACGGAUGGUCAUGCGUCGCAUUAGCUUGUUGGCGGGGUAACGGCCCACCAAGGCGACGAUGCGUAGGGGUUCUGAGAGGAAGGUCCCCACACUGGUACUGAGACACGGACCAGACUCCUACGGAAGGCAGCAG